RNAcentral lists this ribosomal RNA (447 nucleotides) under uncultured bacterium. RNAcentral's name for it is "bacterial SSU rRNA". It matches the Rfam family "Bacterial small subunit ribosomal RNA", at positions 335 to 800 of the family's 1533-position model. The record is from RNAcentral.
ACUCCUACGGGAGGCAGCAGUGGGGAAUCUUAGACAAUGGGGGAAACCCUGAUCUAGCCAUGCCGCGUGGACGAUGAAGGCCUUAGGGUUGUAAAGUCCUUUCAGCUGGGAAGAUAAUGACGGUACCAGCAGAAGAAGCCCCGGCUAACUCCGUGCCAGCAGCCGCGGUAAUACGGAGGGGCUAGCGUUGUUCGGAAUUACUGGGCGUAAAGCGCACGUAGGCGGACUAUUAAGUCAGAUGUGAAAGCCCGGGGCUUAACCUCGGAAUUGCAUUUGAAACUGGCAGGCUAGAGUCUUGUAGAGGGGGUAGAAUUUCAGGUGUAGCGGUGAAAUGCGUAGAGAUCUGAAGGAAUACCAGUGGCGAAGGCGGCCCCCUGGACAAAGACUGACGCUCAGAUGCGAAAGCGUGGGGAGCAAACAGGAUUAGAUACCCUGGUAGGAUAGCGU